Helianthus annuus (common sunflower) is the source of this 1441-nucleotide long non-coding RNA. RefSeq lists it as uncharacterized. The record is from RefSeq and is a predicted model, not a curated record. NCBI's taxonomy places the organism in Eukaryota, Viridiplantae, Streptophyta, Magnoliopsida, Asterales, Asteraceae. The transcript is spliced from 5 exons.
UGCUUAUUGUUGUUGUAACUUGUGCAUAAAUUGUGUUAUUUGCUUUUCUUAGUUGAAACCCUUGCUUAGAAAGUGGUACACUACUUUACCAUUUUCUCCACAUCUAUUUGCCAAGAGUCUCUCACCCAUCUUCUAGAAAGAGAGAGUUCCUUAGGAGAGAGAGAGAGAGAGAGCCAGGUGAUAAGAAACAUCCACACGACCGCUCCUCCUCCGCUUCCCCCUCCAUCCGGCGUCGACCUCAACAUCGAUUGGACACCAUCAGAUUGCACCGAUGUGAUAAGAAGUCUCCUACAGCGAUGAUUUGAUAACUGAAGAUGACGAUGUAUUAACCGGAACCGCUAGAGGUUAUUGUUGAUGCCAUCACCGUGAGAAAUCGAUCAGAAGUUCACUCAGACACAGAUCGCCAGUUUUUCUGAUCUCUAGGUGGCAUUCUCACUUAUUUACUUAUGAAUGAGUUGAUUUAGGCGAAUUAUACAUUCUGACAUCGAAGAACAAGAAGAAAAUGGACGUUUCAGGUGCGAUUCUUUGUCAGUUUUCAGCACUGAAGGAUAUGCUUGAUGAGGUGAACGAAGAAAUAUAUGCGAAUUGAAUUAGAAAUCGUUGAGUGUUCCGAAGUUGAGAGAACUUUAGCUGUUAGCGAGUCCGAGUUGAUGAAGACGAUGUACAUGCUUCAGUUGUAAUUAAAAGGACUCAUGGCAAUGAAUGUGGGCGGUGGUGUCUGUGUGUUGUUUUGCACGAAAUGCUUUAUGGUACGACAACGUUCCACGAGCUCACAGGAGAAUAGCCGCGUUGUAUGGUUUGAUCCGUAAAUUGCUCCACUGUUGUAGGUUUUUUUUUCCAAAUCUUUUGUAGGUUUUGGAAGAGCUUUAUUCAACAUUGUUGCAAACAGUGAUCAUCUUCCUUUAGGAUGUCACCAAAUCUCCAACAGGUUCCAUCCUAAUUCUCUAUGCUUUUCAAUUCAAAACACCAAAUCCCCCUUAUUUGACUCUAUCUAUUUAUUAUUUGAUAUUUCUUUCAACUUCUUUGCAUUGAAUUUCUGUGCAUUUGAUCGAGGCAGCUUCAAAUCCGUAAAGAGUGUACGAGAUAUAUAUAAUUACUUUUUAUGUGUAUAUGCCCUAAUUUUUAGGAUAUUUAUCUACUAAUUAAUUUGCAACCUAGAAGGAUUAAGAGAUUUGGGUUUUUAGGUAUGUUUUAUUCACGUUUGACAAAAUGGGCCCACGUGGAAGCACGGGGACGGUGGUGAAUGGAAGUUUAAGAGCUUGGCAGACGAGUCAACUAGACCACAGUUGAUAAUCUUUAUAUUCCUUUCAAUUUAAAGGUAUAUUUAUUAUUGUUUUGUUAAUCUUUCAACUGGCAUGAAAGAGAAUUCCAAGUUGCAACUUUACCAUAUAAGCCAGAUUUCAAAGUGGUGCCAAAGAGUCAUUCAUAUGAGCAUUUGAAC